RNAcentral lists this long non-coding RNA (835 nucleotides) under Carassius auratus (goldfish). Its description in RNAcentral is "lncRNA (ENSCARG00000029313.1)". Lineage: Eukaryota; Metazoa; Chordata; Actinopteri; Cypriniformes; Cyprinidae. The record is from RNAcentral.
UGGUUACGGGUAAUAGCCACAAAUAGAACCGAUUCAUUCUUGAACGUUCUGUAACUUUUAUGAUGUCGUUGAAGCAGAUUUGUGGUCGCUUUGGGUCAUGUGUUUGAUUAGGGCGAACAAGAUAUCUGUUAACCGAGAACCAAAAAACAACAACAGCAAAAAAUCUGUAUUUCUGAACAUGUACACAUUUUCUUUGCAUGACCUUUUCUAUCGACAUGCCAUGGCUUGAGCCAUCACAAUGGCAAACUUGUUAGAAAAUGUCAUAUGACAGCAAUAAAAGCCACCAUAAUGCUGAAUACGGUAAGAAAGAUAAUGUGACAACAUGAAAAAUGUAUGUCAAACUACAAUAUUCUCUUUAAAUUGAUUAUAAUUCUAGAAAAAAAUUCUUAAAUUAAUCCAUUUCUUACCUUGAAUGUGUCUUUCCAACCACAUGCCAUGGUUUGAGCCAUCACUAAUACACACGUGGUAAGAAAUGUCAUGUGUCAACAUCAAAAACCUGUAUUAGCUACCUGUAUAGUGUUAAAGUGCAGUAAGAAUCACUGUUUUUCUGAACAUGUUCUAUUUUUUUCUUUGCAUGAUUUUUUCCAACAUGCCAGGGUUUGAUCUGCUACAAUGAUGUGGUAAUGUAGAUCAUCUGACAGCAAUAUAAAGCAAGUCCAAUCUGAUUUUUUAAAUAUGAAAACAUCACAGAACUGUUACUUGUUUUAAGUGCAAAUUCACUGUAUUUCUGAACACAUUCUUCUGUUUCUUUGCACGACUCUUCCCAACUGCAUGGCACUGUUUGAGCUUUCACACUGGCAAACACGGUAAUACCUAAAAAUAAAAAAUAAUUAUG